Unclassified non-coding RNA from Otolemur garnettii (small-eared galago), 109 nucleotides. It matches the Rfam family "Y RNA". From Rfam's summary of the family: Y RNAs are components of the Ro ribonucleoprotein particle (Ro RNP), in association with Ro60 and La proteins. The Y RNAs and Ro60 and La proteins are well conserved, but the function of the Ro RNP is not known. NCBI's taxonomy places the organism in Eukaryota, Metazoa, Chordata, Mammalia, Primates, Galagidae. The record is from Ensembl.
UGGUCCGAAGCUAGUGAGUUAUCUCAUUUGGUGGUUCAGAGUCAGUUACAGAUUAAACUCCUUAUUCUACUCCUCCCCUGCCCCCACUCCUGCACUUGACUACUCUUUU